This 492-nucleotide ribosomal RNA is filed under the name uncultured bacterium. Its description in RNAcentral is "partial 16S ribosomal RNA". It matches the Rfam family "Bacterial small subunit ribosomal RNA", at positions 29 to 507 of the family's 1533-position model. The record is from RNAcentral.
AGUGAACGCUGGCGGUAGGCCUAACACAUGCAAGUCGAACGGCAGCACAGUAAGAGCUUGCUCUUACGGGUGGCGAGUGGCGGACGGGUGAGGAAUACAUCGGAAUCUACUUUUUCGUGGGGGAUAACGUAGGGAGACUUACGCUAAUACCGCAUACGACCUACGGGUGAAAGCAGGGGAUCUUCGGACCUUGCGCGAUUGAAUGAGCCGAUGUCGGAUUAGCUAGUUGGCGGGGUAAAGGCCCACCAAGGCGACGAUCCGUAGCUGGUCUGAGAGGAUGAUCGGCCACACUGGAACUGAGACACGGUCCAGACGCCGACGGGAGGCAGCAGUGGGGAAUAGUGGACAAUGGGCGCAAGCCUGAUCCAGCCAUACCGCGUGGGUGAAGAAGGCCUUCGGGUUGUAAAGCCCUUUUGUUGGGAAAGAAAAGCAGCAGGUUAAUACCCCGCUGUUCUGACGGUACCCAAAGAAUAAGCACCGGCUAACUUCGUG